AGUGAACGCUGGCGGUAGGCCUAACACAUGCAAGUCGAACGGUAGCACAGGAGAGCUUGCUCUCUGGGUGGCGAGUGGCGGACGGGUGAGGAAUACAUCGGAAUCUACUUUUUCGUGGGGGAUAACGUAGGGAAACUUACGCUAAUACCGCAUACGACCUACGGGUGAAAGCAGGGGACCUUCGGGCCUUGCGCGAUUGAAUGAGCCGAUGUCGGAUUAGCUAGUUGGCGGGGUAAAGGCCCACCAAGGCGACGAUCCGUAGCUGGUCUGAGAGGAUGAGCAGCCACACUGGAACUGAGAAACGGUCCAGACUCCUACGGGAGGCAGCAGUGGGGAAUAUUGGACAAUGGGCGAAAGCCUGAUCCAGCCAUACCGCGUGGGUGAAGAAGGCCUUCGGGUUGUAAAGCCCUUUUGUUGGGAAAGAAAUCCAGCUGGCUAAUACCCGGUUGGGAUGACGGUACCCAAAGAAUAAGCACCGGCUAACUUCGUGCCAGCCGCCGCCGUAA
This 506-nucleotide ribosomal RNA is filed under the name uncultured bacterium. RNAcentral describes it as "partial 16S ribosomal RNA". It matches the Rfam family "Bacterial small subunit ribosomal RNA", at positions 29 to 523 of the family's 1533-position model. The record is from RNAcentral.